CCGUGUUAGCGGGAGCGUGUCCGCAGUGCAAGUCGCGACCGAGCGUUUCCCUUGUAGACCAUUGCCAAAAACCGGUCUUUAAACUAUAAUAUGCGGGAAAGCUUAAUUGCCUCGGAUUAGCUUCGCCGGUCCAGCCGGGCCCUGCGCAAUAAGAAUCUGUGAACCUCGUCAGGUCCGGAAGGAAGCAGCGAUAAGCGGAAGCUCUUAUGUGCCGCAGACAAGUCUGGUUCGUCAUCGGCGGGGCUAAUCCGGGGCAAUUUUACGG
This 265-nucleotide signal recognition particle RNA is filed under the name Clostridiales bacterium. RNAcentral describes it as "signal recognition particle sRNA large type". The stretch from base 133 to 232 matches the Rfam family "Bacterial small signal recognition particle RNA". The record is from RNAcentral. Lineage: Bacteria; Bacillati; Bacillota; Clostridia; Eubacteriales.